This 497-nucleotide ribosomal RNA is filed under the name uncultured Glomus. RNAcentral's name for it is "SSU rRNA". It matches the Rfam family "Eukaryotic small subunit ribosomal RNA", at positions 569 to 1070 of the family's 1831-position model. The record is from RNAcentral. Lineage: Eukaryota; Fungi; Glomeromycota; Glomeromycetes; Glomerales; Glomeraceae.
AGCAGCCGCGGUAAUUCCAGCUCCAAUAGCGUAUAUUAAAGUUGUUGCAGUUAAAAAGCUCGUAGUUGAAUUUCGGGGUUAGUAGGUUGGUCAUGCCUCUGGUAUGUACUGGUCUCACUGAUUCCUCCUUCCUGAUGAGCCGUAAUGCCAUUAAUUUGGUGUUGCGGGGAAUUUGGACUGUUACUUUGAAAAAGUUAGAGUGUUUAAAGCAAGCUAACGCUUGAAUACAUUAGCAUGGAAUAAUGAAAUAGGACGUUCGAUCCUAUUUUGUUGGUUUCUAGGAUUGACGUAAUGAUUAAUAGGGAUAGUUGGGGGCAUUAGUAUUCAAUUGUCAGAGGUGAAAUUCUUGGAUUUAUUGAAGACUAACUACUGCGAAAGCAUUUGCCAAGGAUGUUUUCAUUAAUCAAGAACGAAAGUUAGGGGAUCGAAGACGAUCAGAUACCGUCGUAGUCUUAACCAUAAACUAUGCCGACUAGGGAUCGGAUGAUGUUAAUUUU